This 52-nucleotide ribosomal RNA is filed under the name Asterionellopsis glacialis. RNAcentral describes it as "partial Eukaryotic large subunit ribosomal RNA". Lineage: Eukaryota; Bacillariophyta; Plagiogrammaphyceae; Rhaphoneidales; Asterionellopsidaceae. The record is from RNAcentral.
AUCUCAGAUUAAGUAAGACUACCCGCUGAAUUUAAGCAUAUAAUUAAGCGGA